GUGGGGAGCCGGUCUUGGAGCAGCGGGUGAGUUUCCCUUUGUCUAGAUUAGAUCCGCUUCCAGCGCUUCUGUACCUGGUGUUGGCGGAGGGGUUCUUACGGAUCUUAAAAUCCUCCCGCCGUUCCCUCCAUCCUAGGUAUAUUAAUACGUCGCCAAGAAAUUCGGAGGUUAAAAUCGCUUGGAGGCUGCUGGUCCUUUCCCUAAGCUCUCUGCCUUCGGGCCACGUAGACGCUUUUCGUCCCGUUUACCUGCUUAAAACCCUUUACUGACCACUCUUUCGGUCCCGCGUCAUGUAAAAGCCCUCACCCAUGAGGUGUAUUCAUGCCCAGUGGGUCCUCCAAGCCUCGCCCUUCUGGCCUCUUGGAGCUCGGUCCCGCAGUCUCGAUGCAUCAGCGCCGUGUCCUCUGCCCGGCCCUGGGAUUUUGGAAACCCCACCCCUCUCCUAAUCCACCCCCAACCUUGUCCUCCUUGGGCUGGGCCCUUCUGUUCCCCAGGUUUCCCCUUCACAACCCACAUUCCUUACCCCGCAUUGAGGGAGGUGACGGGGCCUGGCUUUUGACACUCAAGUGUUUUUCCGUUCCAAAUUGCACCCGCUGGAAAAUGUGCUCUUCCAGAGGAAAAACGAUUGAUUGAUUCUUUCCUCCUCUGAAACUCAACACGGUAGUAAACACUGAACCCAGAAUACUUCACCUGUGGUCACCGAAUGUGUGGGGAUUUCUCCCCACUAACAAGCAGUUCUCCAUCAGACAUCAACUCGGUGUCCCAUAAUUUACCUCACUUCUGACAGCUGUACCUGGGGUAAGCAUCGGAUCCCACAGAUUAAAGGCUCAGUCCACAAGACUUCUCCACUUCAGAUGUCGGUUACAAGUCCCAGAUUGGAACCUGAACUUCUAAGCUACUGGAUAUAAAUUGAGGAUUCCCAUGACCCAGUCUUCAGUAUUUAUUAAUUUGCCAGAGUAGCUCACAGAACUCAGAAACGUAUUAGUUGGGUUUACUCAUUUGUUUUAAAGGAUAUUACAAAGGUUGCAGAUAGACAGAUAGAAUAGCAGUUCUAGAAAAUUAGUUGAAUGCAGGAAAGGAUUUGGGAACCAUGGUGUUUAUCUGGUCAGUCGGAAGUAGAGGUGAAAACUACUACUUGUGUACAGCUUCUAAGGUGGAGGGUAGUCUUGUGGGACUGAGCUUUUCACCUAUAGGAUCUGACACUAUCUCCUUGUAGAUAGUGUAAGAAUUGAGUUAAAUUUUAGGAUUCCCAGGUGGAAGUCUGCAAGGAACGGGUCAGUGUAGGGAAACCACACAUUUUCUUGACCAGAAGUAAAGUAUCCUGUGUUGAGCACGAGAGCAAUGAAAACAGUUUGGUUUUUUCCUGUCUCAGUGAAGGGAAGAUAUUUGUAACAGGCUCACUUACCUGUCUCAAGCCCCGUGCUUUCUACUCAGUAUUGACUGGGAAGGAUCUGUCCCUGUUCUUUGUUUUAAUUUUCUUGAUGUCAUCUUCAUCUCUUACCGUUUUUCUCUGCUGAUGUGUCCUGACUCACUGUUUUCUGAAUGUGGGAGUGACCCACAGCUUAGUCCUCCAACCACUUUUCCUCUCUGUCCACGUCUACUGCCUUUCUAUCCUUUUUUUUUUUUUUUUUUGAGAUGGACUUUUGCUCUUGUUGUCCAGGCUGGAUUGCAAUGGUGUGAUCUUGGCUCACCGCAACCUCUGCCUGCCAGGUUCAAACGAUUCUCCUGCCUCAACCUCCCAAGUAGCUGGGAUUAUAGGCAUGUGCUACCACACCCAGCAACUUUUGUGUUUUUAGUAGAGAUGGAUUCUCCAUGUUGGUCAGGCUGGUCUCGAACUCCUGACCUCGUGAUCCACCGACCUCGUGAUCCACCCACCUCGGCCUCCCAAAGUGCUGGGAUUACAGGCGUGAGCCACCACGCCCAGCCACUGCCUUUCUUUAUCAUUUCAUCUCAUGGUUUUAAACCCCACCUUUACGUCUCCAUCCCUCAUAGACUUCUCUGCUAAUUUCUAGAAUUCUGUGUCCAGUUGUCUCCUCAACUUUCUUCUGGGACAUCCAACAGGCAUCUCCAUAUUUACGUGUCCACUAGUGACUUCCUGAGUUCUCCGAUGUACGCUCCCCUGCAGUCCUACCCAUCUCAGAUAAGGGUGACCCCAUACUUCUGGGAGCAUAGGUGAACAUAUUGGCAUAUAUUUAAAAUCUAGGACAUAGUUCCUUGUUUGAAAGUGUUUUAAGGAAUAAUAUAAAGAAAAAAUUACAUUAUUGCUUAAAAUGGGUGAGGAACUAGCAUUUCCAAAAUUCUUUUGAGUUGAGGGAGAAAAAUGUUUAAAGCCUCCACCCUAUCUGAUCUGCGCCCCAGGACCUCUCUGACCUCAUCCCCUGCCUGUGUCGGCCUUGCUCCCUCUGCUGCAGCUACGCAGACCUCAUUCCUUUUCCUGGAGCUGAGGUUGCUCCUGUCUCAGGGCCUUCACCUGGGCUGUCCCUCUGCCUAGGACUCUUUAGCCCCUCAGUUGCAGGUGACAAACAUCCUUCCUUUUCUAGGCCUGGGUUCUGAUAUCACCUUCUCAGUGAAGGUUUAUGUGACCCUGUCACAACCUCACCUGCUCUGGCCCAUAUUGCCUCCCCUAGAUGUUUCUUUCUGCUCCUUUGCUGUCCACUGUCUGGAUCCUGGUGACAACAAGGACCCAAGGGGAGACCAGAGCCAGAAGGUAGGGGUUGUUCUGGGCUUGCUCCCUCUGAGUUUGGCUCAACCCUGGAUUCGCAUUAGAAUGCUGAGACAUUUUGCAAAUAUAUCUCUUGUGCCUCCUUUCCAGAGAUUCCCAUGCAUUUAGGUUCAAGCGCAGUGUCCCACAUGAUUCUAAUCUGUAGUCAUUGAACAUCAGGGUGCUGUGUCUUCCAUUUCUGAAAGCUGAUAUCAGCCUGUGAUCCACAGAGAGGGGAGAGGCUGUGCUCUGCAUGGGGUUUGGUCAGGGCCAGAUCUGUGCCCUGAAGGGGAGCUCAGUCCAGCCCAGCACCCCACAGCUGCAGCAUGUAUGUGGGCUUCUCCAGGAGGGGAGUAAGCUUUGAAGAACUCAAAAACUGACUUGUUCUUCCUGUAGGACUUUCUUGUCUGCAUCAUCCCUGGUGCUGUGGGCAGCAGAGGGCCAUCUUUCCACAGGGCGAGGUCUUUCCUGUGUGUGUGGUUGUGGCACAGGGAGGGGGUGUGUUGAUUUUGAGCAGUAAACAGCAUAUUUUGAACACUCAGGAUUAACUUGUUUUUUAAAAAGUUUUCUUUUUCUUUUUCUUUCAGGAUUAGCUUCUAAAGUCUCUUUCAUCUCUCCUAAGGAAGAAGCCUAGAAGAGGAGGAAGAGGAAAGAAAAGGAGUCAGGAAUGCCUCUUAGGUACAGUGAUAUUCUCAGUGGACUGUUCUGUGUCUCCUUCCUUUCUGAAAUGCCAUGUGUGGUGUUAUGAUAUAUAUUGGUUUCCAUCGACGGUUCCUGGCUUAUAACCUCCAUAGCCCUUGUUACAAUCUUUUGUUGUAAUGUUGGAUGUGUUAAGCCUCAGGGGUAGGCCUCUGACCUUCUUUUGCCUUCUUUCACUGUGAUGCUCCCCAGCCUUUCUAAUUGUGGGUCUUAAGACCCUCCUCCGAGAGCUUCCCACCCUGUACCCUGGGGGGAAGAAUGUUGAUGUCAUGAAACUUCCAUAAAAACCCAAAAGGGCAAAGUUCGAUGAGCUUCUGGAUGGCUGAACACGUGGAGGUUCUUGGAGGUGGUAAGCCCAGGGGCGUCAUGGAAGCCCUGCACUCCUUCCUCCAUACCCUGCUGUAGGUGCCUCUUCAUCUGUAUCCUUUGCAGUAUCCUUUAUAAUAAACUGGUAAAGGUAAGUAAGUGCUUCCCUGAGUUCUGUGAGCCAGUCUAGCAAAUUAAUUGAAGAGGGGGUCGUGUGAACCCCAAUUUGAAGCUGGGUGGUCAUAAGUUCUGAAGGCCUGGACUUGCGACUGAUGUGUAUGGAGGCAGUCUUGGAGACUGAGCCGUCAACUCGUGGGAUCUGACACUGUCUCCAGUCUUAAUGUACACAGUAGACAGUGUUGGAAUUAAAUUGGAAGAUACCCAGCUAGUGUCUGCUGCUUGGUGUGUGGGGAAAGUACCCACAUACAUUUAGUCACAGAGGUCUUCUAUGUUGAUGAUUGUUGUGGUGUGAGAGUAGAGGAAAAGCACAAUUUGAGGAGAGCUUUUCCCUGUACACAUCAGGCAUUGGAGAUGUCAGUCUUCUCUGAGUCUGAAGCAUCCUGCCUGUGAUGUUUGCUCACACUCACCCAUGUCUUCCCUCAGUCCCUCUGAUGUCACUUAAAUUCCAUCUCACAGUGACUGGUGCUGUGGAAUUUGUGAAGAGGCUCCAUUGGGAAGGGCUUAUACCCAGACAUGGAUGGAGACGGGGUGUGGGCCCCAUGGUGUCACUGCUCUCGGGCAGCAGGAAUUGAAGGAUUGUUUAAGGGCCGGGUCUGGAGGCACUGCCAGCUCUGUAGACUGGAUUAUGGAAGCUGCUCGUGGAAGUCUUAAUGUGCACAACUGCCUGAUAAAAUUUGGAAGAAGAGAUUAGGAAGAGGAAAUCUUUUCUGCCUGAUUUUAUACUCCAUUUGUAGUAAAUAUUUAACAGCAAGAGAUUCUUUAAACCAUUCUAAGUACAUCCAUCCUAUGGAGAUUGUGGUAUUCCUGCAGAGACUCUUGUGAAACAGAUGUUUCAGGUGAAAAUGGUAAGACUUGGGUAAUACUUCUUCUAGGAUGGGGCAUUUCCUAUUUUCUUAGAUCUCGCAAGGUUCCCCUGUUAUCCCCAGCUGCAGGGGUACCUCUCCUAUCAAGAACAUGUGAAAUUUUGCCCUCAUUAAAAAAAAAACCAACAACUUGCUACUACUAUGUUUAUAUAUAUAUAUUUUGAAAAUCUGGGAAAAAUGACAACCGUCUGUAUUUUCAUUUUUCAAUUUAUUGUCAGUCUACAUAGGUUUUAUUAUUUUGGGGACGUGUAUAUACAAAAUGAAUUUUCAUGCUUUGCUCAAUUUUCUUUCCAUGUAUUUUAGUAUCUGUUUUAAUUUCUGUGGUUUUUAUUCCUUACAUAUGCCCUGAUGUCUUUUAUUUUAGGUUAUACAUUUUUUAAUUGUAAGACAAAUCUUUCAUUUAUACCUUCUGAUUUUUGUUGUGCCUUUGUUUGUUUCAUCUUGAUUUGGAAGGCCUUGCAUGAUUAUGAAGUACUAAGUUUCAUUUAGGAAUAAAGUUUUGUUGUUUAAAAUUUU
Molecule: small RNA, 5265 nt
Filed under: Pan troglodytes (chimpanzee)
Lineage: Eukaryota; Metazoa; Chordata; Mammalia; Primates; Hominidae
Description: processed transcript
Source: RNAcentral